AGAGUUUGAUCCUGGCUCAGAUUGAACGCUGGCGGCAGGCUUAACACAUGCAAGUCCCUACGGUAACAGAGGGAAGCUUGCUUCUCUGCUGACGAGUGGCGGACGGGUGAGUUAUGUCUGGGAAGCUGCCUGCUUGAGGGGCAUAGCGGAGCGAAAGUUCCGAUAAUACCGCGUAAGCCCGAGAGGGGAAAGUGCGGGACCGCAAGGCCGCACGCGAGCAGAUGCGCCCAGAUGGGAUUAGGCAGUUGGGGAGGUAAUGGCUCACCAAACCGAUGAUCUCUAGCUGGUUUGAGAGGGCAAUCAGCCACAUUGGAAUUGAGAAACGGACCAAACUCUACGGGAGGCAGCAGUGGGGAAUAUUGCACAAUGGGGGAAACCCUGAUGCAGCCAUGCCGCGUGUGUGAAGAAGGCUUCGGGUUGUAAAGCACUUUUGCAUUCGAGGAAGACAGCGUAUAAAUAAAUGCGCUAUUUGACGUUAGAGUGUGAAUAAGCACCGGCAAACUCCGUGCCAGCAGCCGCGGUAAUACGGAGGGUGCGAGCGUUAAUCGGAAUGACUGGGCGUAAAGGGCACGCAGGUGGCGAGAUAAGUUGGAUGUGAAAUUCCCGUGCUUAACAUGGGGACUGCAUCCAAAACUGUUGAACUGGAGUACUGUAGAGGGAGGUAGAAUUCCACGUGUAGCGGUGAAAUGCGUAGAGAUGUGGAAGAAUACCAGAGGCGAAGGCGGCCUCCUGGACAGAUACUGACACUGAGGUGCGAAAGCGUGGGUAGCAAACAGGAUUAGAUACCCUGGUAGUCCGCGCCGUAAACGAUGUUAACUUGAAAUAUGUGUACUACGGUAUGUGUGUUUCGCAGCAAACGCCAUAAGUUAACCGCCUGGGGAGUACGAUCGCAAGGUUCAAACUCAAAUGAAUUGACGGGGGCCGCACAAGCGGUGGAGCAUGUGGUUUAAUUCGAUGCAACGCGAAGAACCUUACCUGGCCUUGAGAUACCGGGAAUCCUGCAGAGAUGCGGGAGUGCUUCGGGAACCCGGAUACAGGUGCUGCAUGGNUGUCGUCAGCUC
RNAcentral lists this ribosomal RNA (1061 nucleotides) under unidentified rumen bacterium 12-35. RNAcentral's name for it is "bacterial SSU rRNA". It matches the Rfam family "Bacterial small subunit ribosomal RNA", at positions 8 to 1061 of the family's 1533-position model. Lineage: Bacteria; Pseudomonadati; Pseudomonadota; Gammaproteobacteria. The record is from RNAcentral.